AACGAACGCUGGCGGCAUGCCUAACACAUGCAAGUCGAACGAGACCUUCGGGUCUAGUGGCGCACGGGUGCGUAACGCGUGGGAAUCUGCCCUUGGGUUCGGAAUAACAGUUAGAAAUGACUGCUAAUACCGGAUAAUGUCUUCGGACCAAAGAUUUAUCGCCCAGGGAUGAGCCCCGCGUAGGAUUAGCUAGUUGGUGAGGUAAAGGCUCACCAAGGCGACGAUCCUUAGCUGGUCUGAGAGGAUGAUCAGCCACACUGGGACUGAGACACGGCCCAGACUCCUACGGGAGGCAGCAGUGGGGAAUAUUGGACAAUGGGCGAAAGCCUGAUCCAGCAAUGCCGCGUGAGUGAUGAAGGCCUUAGGGUUGUAAAGCUCUUUUACCCGGGAUGAUAAUGACAGUACCGGGAGAAUAAGCCCCCGGCUAACUCCGUGCCAGCAGCCGCGGUAAU
RNAcentral lists this ribosomal RNA (452 nucleotides) under uncultured bacterium. RNAcentral's name for it is "bacterial SSU rRNA". It matches the Rfam family "Bacterial small subunit ribosomal RNA", at positions 29 to 524 of the family's 1533-position model. The record is from RNAcentral.